GUGGGGAAUCUUCCGCAAUGGACGAAAGUCUGACGGAGCGACGCCGCGUGAGUGAAGAAGGCCUUCGGGUCGUAAAGCUCUGUCAUCAGGGACGAACGGCCGGUGGAGUGGAAAGCCACCGGAUUGACGGUACCUGAGAAGGAAGCCACGGCUAACUACGUGCCAGCAGCCGCGGUAAUACGUAGGUGGCAAGCGUUGUCCGGCAUUAUUGGGCGUAAAGCGCGCGCAGGUGGGAUCUUAAGUCCAUUUUUAAAGUUCGGAGCUCAACUCCGUGAUGGGAUGGAAACUGGGAUUCUUGAGUACCGGAGAGGAAAGCGGAAUUCCCCGUGUAGCGGUGAAAUGCGUAGAUAUGGGGAGGAACACCAGUGGCGAAGGCGGCUUUCUGGACGGUGUCUGACACUGAGGCGCGAAAGCCAGGGGAGCGAACGGGAUUAGAUACCCGGGUAGUCC
This 450-nucleotide ribosomal RNA is filed under the name uncultured bacterium. RNAcentral describes it as "partial 16S ribosomal RNA". It matches the Rfam family "Bacterial small subunit ribosomal RNA", at positions 354 to 796 of the family's 1533-position model. The record is from RNAcentral.